CCCUUAGAUGUUCUGGGCCGCACGCGCGCUACACUGACGGAUUCAACGAGCUUACAACCUUGGCCGAAAGGUCUGGGUAAUCUCCAAAAUCCGUCGUGAUGGGGAUAGAUUAUUGCAAUUAUUAAUCUUCAACGAGGAAUGCCUAGUAAGUGCAAGUCAUCAGCUUGCGUUGAUUACGUCCCUGCCCUUUGUACACACCGCCCGUCGCUCCUACCGAUUGAAUGGUCCGGUGAAGCGUUUGGACUAUGGUUUUCUGAUGGUCCGCCGUUGGAUUACCGUGGGAAGUUCGUUAAACCUUAUCAUUUAGAGGAAGGAGAAGUCGUAACA
Molecule: ribosomal RNA, 327 nt
Filed under: uncultured eukaryote
Lineage: Eukaryota
Description: partial 18S ribosomal RNA
Rfam family: Eukaryotic small subunit ribosomal RNA
Source: RNAcentral